CAGUCGCCGCGGGAAAACGGAGGGUGCAAGCGUUAUCCGGAUUUAUUGGGUUUAAAGGGUCCGUAGGCGGAUCUGUAAGUCAGUGGUGAAAUCUCACAGCUUAACUGUGAAACUGCCAUUGAUACUGCAGGUCUUGAGUAAAUUUGAAGUGGCUGGAAUAAGUAGUGUAGCGGUGAAAUGCAUAGAUAUUACUUAGAACACCAAUUGCGAAGGCAGGUCACUAAGAUUUAACUGACGCUGAUGGACGAAAGCGUGGGGAGCGAACAGGAUUAGAUACCCCUGUAGUCCCUGUCUCUUAUAC
RNAcentral lists this ribosomal RNA (301 nucleotides) under uncultured bacterium. RNAcentral's name for it is "partial 16S ribosomal RNA". It matches the Rfam family "Bacterial small subunit ribosomal RNA", at positions 509 to 807 of the family's 1533-position model. The record is from RNAcentral.